AGCUCUUAGAGCUGACUCGGAUAGCCGUUAA
Molecule: transfer RNA, 31 nt
Filed under: Monachaster sanderi
Lineage: Eukaryota; Metazoa; Echinodermata; Asteroidea; Valvatida; Oreasteridae
Description: partial tRNA-Thr
Source: RNAcentral